Molecule: ribosomal RNA, 253 nt
Filed under: uncultured bacterium
Lineage: Bacteria
Description: partial 16S ribosomal RNA
Rfam family: Bacterial small subunit ribosomal RNA
Source: RNAcentral
UACGGAGGGUGCAAGCGUUGUCCGGAAUCAUUGGGCGUAAAGCGCGUGUAGGCGGCUGGCUAAGUCCGCUCUGAAAGCCCGGGGCUCAACCCCGGGAGGCGGGUGGAUACUGGUCAGCUCGAGUCCGGAAGAGGAGUGUGGAAUUCCUGGUGUAGCGGUGAAAUGCGCAGAUAUCAGGAGGAACACCAAUGGCGAAGGCAGCACUCUGGGACGGUACUGACGCUGAGACGCGAAAGCGUGGGGAGCAAACAGG